ACUUCGAAGCGUAAAGACUUGAAAACGCGUCGGAUAAACAAGAUGAAGUUACUCGUUUUUUUCUGCGCGCCGUCGUUGUGAGCCGAAAAGAAAAAGUAACAAAAGAAGCAGCGCAGGAAAAUCAAAAAUUGGCUGCAAGUGCGUGUUUUGAAAGUUUAAUAACCAAGAAAAGUCUUUGUAGAAUUCUUGGCACACCUUCGAUUUCUGGAAAUUAACGCGAAAUAUUACGAAACGAAGCGGUAAACAAAACCAAAUGGUGCGAAAGUGGUAAAAAAAAACGAAAUGCGGCUAUAUCAGUUGUCAUUCCACGAAGCAUUCAUAUCAAUCAAACCGAAAUAUAUAACCCAAAUUGUGUCCAUGUGAUUCAACGAUUUUGUGAUUCGAUACGAUACGAUACGACCUUGAAAAGCAUAGGUUUUUAUGUUGGUGAUUUUAAAUUUUAUCAAAACGAAACCAAUUCGCUACUGGGAUUAAGCGAACCAAGGAUUAUACGACUAUGGAACCCGGAAUUUUAAUUGAUGAAAGACAGCACAUACAGAAGAAAACAUUCACAAAAUGGAUCAAUUCACAUCUCAUCGAUACCCAGUGCACACCAGUGAAGGAUUUGUUCUUGGACCUGCGGGACGGACAUCGAUUGCUGGCCCUGCUGAGCACGCUGACUCAAACCAACCUGAAACCCGAAAAGGGUCGGAUGCGGGUGCACCACAUCAACAAUCUGAACAAGGUGAUUACCGAGAUCCAGCAGCAUGGUGUCAAGUUGGUGAACAUCUCCAGCGAUGACAUAGUGGGUGGCAAUGCCAAGUUGACCCUAGGCCUCAUUUGGCUUAUAGCGCUGGAGUUCAAUGGCCAGCAUCUAGUCAAGAGUCAUUCGAGCAACGGGGUGGAGAAGUCCCUAUUGGCCUGGGCACGUCAGUAUACGGAAGCUCAUGGCCUGCAGCUGAAUGAUUUCUCCAGUUCGUGGUCCGAUGGAAGAGCCUUCCUCAUGAUCCUGGAUGCUCAUGUGGAGGAGCUGAAUCUACAGGCGGCUUUGCAGCAACAUGCACUGAAAAGACUGCAUUUGGCUUUUGACUUAGCACAUAGGCACUUUAAGAUUGAAAAGCUGCUGGAUGCCGAGGAUGUGCACACCCACAAGCCAGAUAACAAGUCAAUACAGAUGUAUGUGAUGUGCCUUUACCACGCCAUGGAAUCAAUGAGGACAAGGCAGCAGGAGCAGGAGCAGGAUGAGGGACAGGAUCAGGAUCCGGGAAGAGUGCCCUGCACCAGCAUCACAGACUUGGAUGAGGUGCCACUGGACAAUGACCAAACCAGUUUGGGGCUUUAUACUUCAGACAGUGCUGGUAGCAUGGAGCAGAGAUCUUCAGGGGAGCUGAAGACCCUUUCCAUGCGUCCCUUGAGUACGGCAACCAAUGCAAGUGUGGAGAUCAGUGGCUAUCAGUCAGCUCUCGAGGCAGUACUCACCCUCCUACUGGAAGAUGAACAGCUGCUCUCACAGAACUUGCCGGAUCCGCAGGAUUUUCAGACUGCCAAGCUGCAGUUUCACGAAAAUGAAAGCUUCAUGCUGAAGCUCACCGAACAUCAGGAGUAUGUGGGAGAAGCUCUGGAGGAGGGUAGCAACCUCAUCAACGAAUCCCAGAAGGCUGGAGCUGGUUUGAGUCAGGAGGAUCAAAACGAAGUGAGGCAACAAAUGGUGUUGCUCAACGAACGUUGGGAAACCUUGAGAUUGCGAGCAUUAGAUGUUCAAGCCAAAAUCCUAAUGAGACUGGCCGAGUUUCAGAAGCAAAAACUCGAACAGCUUCGUCAGUUUCUGACCAGUGUCGAAGAUCGUAUAUCCCAUAUGAGUGAUAUAGGACCUACCAUAGAAGAAGCGGAAAAGCAAAUUUUGGAAGCCCAAAAACUGAAAGCAGAUCUAAGUGAGCAGCAGGAAUUGGUGGAUAGUCUGAGCAGCAUGGUGGUCAUUGUAAACGAUACCUCAGGCAACUUUAAUGAUCUAGAAGAUCGCUUGAGUGCCUUGGGGGAGAGAUGGUCGCAUGUGGUGAAGUGGAGUGAUCUGCGAAAAGAGAAACUACAGCAGUAUAAAUGUAUCUCCAGAUGGCUGGAUGCCCGCGAGCAGGAUCUCAAGCUCAUGGAGAGUCGCGAUGUCACAGAUGUGGGCGGCAUUACCCAGCGUAUCAAUGAGCUAAACUAUUGUGCCAAGGAUCUGUUGGAACUGCAGAGAUAUCUGAUAGAUCUGCGACAAAUGGUGGCUGCCACAUUGCAGGAUGGUGAUGACAAGGGCGAACGGGUGCUCAUCCAAUUAGAGAGUUACGAAGAUCGUUUAGAUGCCUUAAAGCAGAUUGUUGAAGUACAAACAGUGCGAAUCGAAACGAAGGGCUUUAACUUUGGACGAGAUCGAGCUAGCUAUGAUGACAGCAGGGUGGUGCGUCCAGAAGGAUGGUUGGACUACCAGAUGAUCAUUCGCUUCGGUGAAGACGAUUCUCAGGAAGACGAUGACGAGCAUGAUUUGGCCAGCAAGAAGCGAAAGCUUAGAAACGCUGACAAUUUCAAUGCUCUCGAGAAUAACAUCAUGGAGCACUUUGGCUAUGUCCAGGAAGUGGAGCAAAAGCUACAGCAGUUGCAGAGGCAAAGUCUUCGGCAACAGUGUGAAUUACUCAAGGAACUUCAGGCGGAAAACAGUCGACGCUGCGGUACUUUACCCGAACUUAAGAAACUCUACGAAGUCUGUGAGCUGGAGGAUCCGUCGAGGAACCUGCUCCUGGAGGAAACACACAUCAAGCAGCUGGAGCAACGAUAUGCGAACUUGUCUCAAAAACUAUCAAGCCAACAGAGCGAAAGCCGUACGCUGUUGGCCAAGGAAAAGUAUUACAAUAGUCUGACAGGAUUUAAAUUAGUUUUAGCUGAUUCCAGAGAUUGGUAUAAGCAACACGCUGGCUCAGCCAGUGGCAACGAACUAGAACAGCGUUUGAGCCACAUGGAAUCCCUGUCAUCGGAGAUUUCAGAGGCCAAGACAGCCACCGAGGAGCUGGAUGAUAAUCUAAUAGAAUGGAAGCAGGACUUCGGUCUGUUCUACGACAGUUGGCAUGACAUGAAGCAGGCUCUGCAGGCCCUAAUUCAACAGAGAGGCGGCGAAAGUCUUUCCAGGCAGUUGAAACAAGUCCAAGAUUUUGUAACCAAAGUGUCUAAUCAAAAGGUUCGCGUUUCCAAUCUGGAAGUCAUGCAGAAGCAACAGCAUUUGCUGAACCAAUUGGUAGACGAAAUGGAGUCCCUUCGGCUAACCUAUGAUAAUAUACCGAAACACCUGAUUGGCGAAGAACUACAAACCACGUGGAACCGACUUCCCGAACAGCUAAAUGAGCGCGUAAUUAAGCAAACCACAGCUAUAGAAAACCUAAACCACUUUGCUGCGGAGUAUAAUGCCAUUAUAGCCAUGCUGCGAAGUGCAGCCGAUUCCAAGUUGAAUGGAAGUGAUGGUGGUAGCAGUCAAGAUCUCCGAAAACUGGAGAUCGAUGUGAUAAGCGCUCGAAAUUUCAGCGAAAUUCUGAUCAAGGAGGCGGAGCCAGCCCAAAAGGAGUCGCUACAAUCGCAGAUUAGGGCUCUCAAUACGUUGUACGAUCAAGUGGAACAGGUUCAUCGGGAGAAGAAGCAACAGCAGACGGUCCUGCAAUCCCAGAUUGAUCUCAUCCAGCUGAGGCUCAAGGAAACCGAUCAGUGGUUAACUGAUCUGGAGAGUAAUACACCCAAAUCGGGAAUUAGCGAUAUAGUAAACUCCAACGAGUUGUUCCAGAGCAAGAGUCGCUUUCAGACUCUUAAAGAAACCUGCGAAAGGGAAACCACACAGUUCAGGGAUCUCAACGAACGUGGUGGUGAGCUGCUCCUCCAAAUGGAUGAGCUUCAGGACCAGGACAGGGAGUCCCGAUACGGAUCGCUAGCAAAGCAAUUCACACGCAUCAAUGCCAGAUGGACGGAGGUCACCGAGCUGGUUUAUGCGAAGACAGCUCUUCUCGAGCAUAUAUCAACGCAGCUGGGGGAGUUCAAGAAGUUCAUGGUUAGCGAGACGGGUUACCUGGACAAGUUGGAAAACAAGAUACGCAACACACCAGAGAAUGCAGCCGACGCAGAGGAGAUCAUGGAGGAGCUUGAUGAUCUGGAGAACGUUCUGCGCUCGCACUCUGAGGAAUGGCUGGACAAGAUUCAGGAAAUUGGCAACGAGCUAAUUGACAACGAAUUCAUGGCCGACUCCAUACGACGCGACAUUGAUGAAACCGUCCAGCGGUGGACACACCUCCAGCAGCAGGCCAAGAAGCGAACCGAGCUCCUGGAGCAAAAGGUCAGCGAGGCGGAGCAGUCCGAGAAGUGCAUCGUGCAGUUCGAAAAGUGGCUGACCCGUGUGGACGACAUACUCAGCGAUUAUCUGGAGAACGAUGUGACCCUUGCAGAUCAGCCGGAGGAUUUCCAGCGCUUGGCACGCGAGUUUGUGGCCAAUGAGAAAAACUUUACGGAGAUCAGCGAACUUAUUGACGAGCACACGAGGAACGGCAAGGUGGGAGCUGCCAAUCGCCUCCAGGAGCAGCUUAACCUGAUGGAGGUGCGGUUCAAGUACUGCCAGGCCAAGCUGAGCAAGUGUACCGCACCCCAACCUGCCUACGAAUCGCAUUUGAAUAGGGCCUAUGCGGAUCUUCGAAACGUGGAGCGAUCCACACAGGUACUAGAUGUCGCAUCCGCCGGACCCAACACGGUUCAGGCUCAAUACCAAAACUGUCUGCAAAUUUAUCGCACUCUGUCGGAGAUAAAGGCGGAAAUCGAGAGAACUAUUAAAACCGGUCGCAGGGUUUGCGAGGACAGGUACACAAAAUCGCCGAAACAACUUAGUCAGCGGAUUGAUGCGCUGAAGCACCUGUACAAUGCCCUCGGAGAGAAUGUGACCCAGUCAAAGGCGUUACUGGAAAGCCUGCUCAGAUUAGCGAGGCAAUUAGAGGAGUGUUUCGAUUCGGCGGACAGCCUAAUCCGGCGCUUUGAGUCGCCGCAAGAGGUCCAUGACAGGAACUCCAUACUCCUGGAGUUCGAGGAUGUGCUGCGAAGGUGCGAGGACCACUAUAAUGAGUAUAGCAAAUCCUGCGACCAGAGCUGUAUGGUGGAAACCCGUCAGAGGAUCGAUGGCUUGAAGGCCACGUACCACAAGUUGACCAGUGCGGACAUAAUCAAGCGGCUCACCGAGAUGAAGGCCACCCUGCAGAACCUGGACAACAUUUCACUGGAGACUUUAAAGGCAAUGGAGCACGACCUGAAGGAGAUAAAUGUGCCCUCGAAUCCGGAAAUUGAGAAAUUGCAGCAGCAAGUAAUUGCAAUUGUCGUGGAUGUGCUGAAAACCCGUUUCAAUGAAGCCACAACGCUUGCCGCUCGAAAUACGAGCUCUCCCGAAAAUGACGACACGGAAAUAGUUGUGGUCAGCGAUACAGUGCGUCAACGACGUGCCAGGACACCCCAAUCGGGGGAAUCGCCAUCAUCCGCCCACACCAGUUCCUCGGAGUCGCCAACGAAGGGUGUGGAGAAUACUCCGGUUGCGGUUGGCGACCAAGUCCUGCCGGAUCUCCUUCCACCACAAACAUUCCGGCUGGCCGAGUCCAGUACCCUGUUCUCGCAGAUUUCCCUUAAUCCCGAGAAGGUAUCGAACACUCCACCACCCAAACCAGCGAAAACUAAGCGAAAGGCCCCAAGUUCUCCAGCCCAAGUUGUGGAGAUCAAGGUGAAGAACAUCCAAAACGAUAAAAUGUCUGUGCAGAAUAUUGAUCUGGAACCACAGCAGGGUGAAAUCGUGGACACCGUCAAUAUCCUGGAGAGUGUGGAACCAUUUGUACCCGAAUAUGUAGAGACCGUACAGAUUGUAGAUCUCUCCGAGGACUCGGAUUCAUCGGUUAGAGUUGACAGUCAGGGCAAUGAGGUGCGACGAUCGAAGAGCAAGCACUCUUUGAACGAGACUCCACUGCCCAAGGUUUCGGAUAACGAUGAAGAUUCGGCGGGACAAGAGGAGGACCUUCUGCGUCCCUCGGCUGAGAAUACAAGCACUCCGUUCCUGAGGGUGGAAAAACGCCGCAUUUCCUUCGAUGAGAAACGCAAGCGAGUAGCUAAUGAGCGCGAUAUCCUGCGCGAUUCCGAAGAGGAGGAACCCAAAACACCGGAUACUCCACGGGCAGCGCAAGUCUCCAAGCCAAAGCGCUGGCGCCAACUGCAGCCAGAAAUGGAUGCUCUGGAACCCGAAUCACCCGGUCGCGAUAGUUUCUAUAGUCCCGACAAAGAAUCCGGUUUCGAUGCUGAGCCUCUCGUGUUUUCCGACGAUGAAGAUAUACCGCGUUUCUCGCUGGAAAUGACACCAACCAUUGACUCCGAUAGUGAUACGAGUCGCAUUGAGACGCCCUCUACCAAAAAGCCCAAUCCUUUCCUGAGCAAGGUCCUGGAAUCGAUGCCUUCUCCGGUGGAUGACUCAAAUGUAACGCUCAAAAGCCCGCUCAGCGAACAGCCCCAGAAUCUGGAUGAUCGUGUGCGGGAGUUCGACAAGCAGGCCAAGCAGAUGAUCUACAAGUUGAAGCUUACGAAGGCCAAGAUUGAACAGUGUCACGAAAGCGAAGCAGAGGACCUGCGGCUCCUGAUAGCUCCCGAUGCAGCCACCUUGAUAUCCCAAGGCGACUCUUUGGUUCUGGAAACCCAUGGUAGACAGGGCAGCAUAUCCCGCCUGGUGAUGCGCACCCAAAUAAUUUUGAGGGAACAAUUCCGAGAAGUGCAGCAAGCAAGAUCCAAGACCUCGGGAAGCGGGGCACCAGCUCCUCCACUGGACAGCGUGAACAUCGAGGAGCUGGUCACCAAGGGACUGCGUCGCAUCAACGUUCUCAUAGAAAAGACCGUCGAUCUAAAGUCGAGCAGUGAUCUUGAGAAGCGCAUGGAGGAUAUCAACGAGCGGCACGACGAUUUGCAGGUGAUUGUCAGCGCCAUUGGCAAGAACGCCCAGAUGCCGAAGGUCACGCCCCUCAUGAUGAACGAAAUUGAAAAGACGAAAAACAAUUUGAUAGCUCAUGCGGAUUCCAUUGAGCUCUCGUUGACGGAACUAAGAAAUGGCCCCCGAAUUUCCAAUGGCAAGGAGCGCCCAGAUGCAUCCAGUGCGUCCACCAUGAGCUGUCGUUCCGAGUACAAUAACGAGCCGAGUGGUACUGGAGCGUUGGCCGGCAGCUUCGAUAAGUCGGUGCUGCAAAUUUCCGACUGGCUUACUUGGGAACAAAACAUGAUCAAGAUACAGAGCGUGCUCGUCGACGAUGGCGAUGCAGUGCGACUGGCCAUCGAGAAGCAGGAGAAAGUCCUGCGUGAAUUGAAAAUGAAAAAGCCGCAGCUCAACGAACUGGUUCACACGGCGGAAGUGCUCAAAGGCGACGUAAAACGGCAGCAACUCCAGGAGAAAGAGCUGAAACAGUUUUCCCUAGCACCGCACUGUUCAGCGGACUUAGAUUAUAUGCGUUGCUGUCUGAAAGUGACCCGAUUGCGAGAACACUGGGAUGAGACGUCGCAAUGUGUCCUGCAGCGAGCUGCCCAACUGAAAAACAUGCUGAGCGACUCACAGCGGUUCGAGGCCAAGCGCCUGGAGCUGGAGAAGUGGCUGGCCCGCAUGGAGCAGCGGGCUGAGCGCAUGGGAACCAUCGCCACCACGGCCGACAUCCUGGAGGCCCAGCAGAAGGAGCAGAAGUCCUUCCAUGCGGAGUUGCACCAGAACAAACAACACUUCGAUAUCUUCAACGAGCUGACCCAGAAACUGAUUGCCGUCUAUCCCAAUGAUGAUACCACCAGGAUCAAGAAGAUGACGGAGGUCAUCAAUCAAAGAUAUGCUAACUUAAACAGCGGAGUCAUCAAUCGUGGUAAGCAACUGCAUGCAGCGGUGCAUAGCCUUCAAUCUUUUGACCGAGCCAUGGAUCAGUUCCUUGCCUUUCUUUCGGAAACGGAAACACUUUGUGAAAACGCCGAGUCUGAUAUUGAACGCAAUCCAUUAAUGUUCAAGGACCUACAAUCGGAAAUUGAAACCCAUCGCGUGGUUUACGAUCGUCUCGAUGGAACAGGCCGCAAACUUUUGGGUUCGCUCACCUCACAAGAGGAUGCGGUUAUGCUGCAGCGUCGCCUCGAUGAAAUGAAUCAACGUUGGAAUAAUUUAAAAUCGAAAAGUAUUGCAAUCAGGAAUCGCCUGGAGUCCAAUUCGGAGCACUGGAACGCCCUGCUCUUGUCGCUGCGCGAACUGACCGAGUGGGUUAUCCGCAAGGACACCGAACUGAGCACUUUGGGCUUGGGUCCCGUUCGAGGCGAUGCCGCCAGUCUACAGAAACAGUUGGACGAUCAUAAAGCCUUUCGCCGCCAAUUGGAGGAUAAGCGGCCAAUUGUCGAGAGCAAUUUAACGAGCGGUCGUCAGUACAUCGCCAACGAAGCAGCCGUCUCGGAUACCAGCGAUACGGAGGCCAACCAUGACUCCGACUCGCGUUACAUGUCCGCCGAGGAGCAGAGCCGUGAGCUAACACGCAGCAUCCGGCGGGAGGUGGGAAAACUUUCCGAGCAGUGGAACAAUCUAAUCGAUAGAUCUGACAAUUGGAAGCAUCGCCUGGAUGAGUACAUGACGCCGCAAUCCGUAUCGGUUGUAUCGGAAAUUCUAAUUUCCAACACGCUCAAAAAAAUGCGUCAGUUCCAGAAGAUCCUGGAGGAUCUCAGCUCCCGCGUUGCCCUUGCCGAGCAGACAAAAACCUCCUGGCUGCCACCCUCCUCCGUGGGCGAGGCCAAUGAGCAGAUGCAACAGUUGCAGCGCCUGAGGGACAAGAUGACGACGGCCAGUGCGCUCCUGGAUGAUUGCAACGAGCAGCAGUCCUUCUUCACCGCCAAUCAGGUCCUGGUGCCCACACCCUGCCUCUCCAAGCUGGAGGACUUGAACACGCGCAUGAAACUCCUGCAAAUCGCGAUGGACGAGCGCCAGAAGGUCCUUUGUCAGGCUGGAGCUCAGCAGACGCACGAGAACGGCGACGACGGACGCACCACAUCGAACAGCGGCACCAUUGGACCACUGCCCAAUCUCGGCCAGAGCGUGAAGCCGCCAUGGGAGCGGGCCACCACAGCCGCCAACGUGCCUUACUAUAUCGACCACGAACGUGAGACCACGCACUGGGACCAUCCGGAGAUGAUUGAGCUGAUGAAGGGCUUGGCAGAUCUCAACGAGAUACGCUUUUCCGCCUACAGAACGGCCAUGAAACUGCGAUCUGUUCAGAAGCGAUUGGCUCUCGACAGGAUUAGCAUGUCCACCGCCUGCGAGUCCUUCGAUCGACAUGGCCUGCGUGCCCAAAACGACAAGCUGAUCGACAUACCCGACAUGACCACGGUGCUGCAUUCGCUCUACGUGACAAUCGAUAAAAUUGAUUUGACGCUAAUGCUGGACCUGGCCAUCAACUGGAUCCUGAAUGUCUACGACUCACAGAGGACCGGACAAAUCCGUGUCCUCAGCUUCAAGGUCGGACUGGUCCUCCUCUGCAGGGGUCACCUGGAGGAGAAGUAUCGCUAUCUGUUCCGCCUGGUUGCAGACACUGACCGACGUGCGGAUCAGAGACGACUGGGACUCCUGCUGCACGAUUGCAUUCAGGUACCCCGCCAACUAGGUGAAGUUGCCGCUUUCGGUGGCUCCAACAUUGAGCCCUCGGUGAGAUCCUGCCUGGAGCAGGCUGGCAUCUCGCAGGAGGCCAUCGAUGGCAACCAGGACAUCUCCAUCGAGCUGCAGCACUUCCUCGGCUGGCUGCAGCACGAACCGCAGAGCCUCGUGUGGCUUCCGGUGCUCCAUCGCCUGGCGGCGGCGGAGGCGGCCAAGCACCAGGCCAAGUGCAACAUCUGCAAGGAGUACCCGAUCGUGGGCUUCCGCUACAGAUGCCUCAAGUGCUUCAACUUCGACAUGUGCCAAAAGUGUUUCUUCUUCGGCCGCAACGCCAAGAACCACAAGCUCACGCAUCCCAUGCACGAGUACUGCACCACUACCACAUCCACCGAGGACGUUCGUGACUUUACACGCGCCCUGAAGAACAAAUUCAAGAGUCGCAAAUACUUCAAGAAGCAUCCAAGAGUGGGAUACCUGCCCGUUCAGAGUGUUUUGGAGGGUGAUGCUCUGGAGAGUCCGGCGCCCAGUCCGCAGCACACAACCCAUCAACUACAGAACGACAUGCACUCCCGCUUGGAGAUGUACGCCUCACGACUGGCUCAGGUGGAGUACGGCGGAACGGGCUCAAAUUCCACGCCGGACAGUGAUGAUGAGCACCAACUGAUCGCUCAGUAUUGCCAGGCUCUGCCCGGAACUUCGAAUGGAAGUGCGCCCAAGUCGCCUGUCCAAGUAAUGGCCGCCAUGGAUGCCGAGCAGCGGGAAGAACUGGAGGCGAUCAUCCGCGAUCUGGAGGAGGAGAACGCUAACCUGCAGGCGGAGUACCAGCAAUUGUGCAGCAAGGAGCAGAGCGGCUUGCCCGAGGACUCCAAUGGCAUGCAACACUCCAGUUCUAGCAUGACUGGUCUUUCUGGCCAGGGCGAGCAGGGCCAGGACAUGAUGGCGGAAGCGAAGCUGCUGCGCCAGCACAAGGGACGCCUCGAGGCGCGUAUGCAAAUCCUGGAGGAUCACAAUCGGCAACUGGAAGCGCAGUUGCAGCGACUACGCCAACUUCUCGAUGAGCCCAAUGGCGGCGGUAGUAGCGCCACCAGCAGCGGUCUGCCCAGCGCCCCCGGCUCCGCAUUGAACUCCAAACCCAACACUCUCCAGACCCGGUCGGUGACCGCCUCGCAAUUGAACACGGACUCACCGGCAAAGAUGAACCAACAGAAUGGCCACUACGAGCACAACUCAAAGGGAAUUAUGCUGCCGGGCAUGAACAGCGAGAUGCAGCAACAGCACGCCCAGCUGGCGAGCUUGGCGGCGAAGCAUCACCAGCACCAGCUCAGCGGAGCCCUGAAUGCGUUGCACCAACAGCAGCAGCAACAGCAGCAGUUGCAGCAGCAACAUCCGCAGCAACAAAGGAGCCUGAUGACAGGCAAUGGCGGAAUGGACAUUUCCGGCGGCAUGCAGACAUCGGGCGGAUAUCUGGGCGACGACGGGCGUCCACCGCCGCCCCCGCACUCCAGUCUCAUGCAACAGCAGCACCAGCAGCACUUGAAUGGUGCGGAUAUUAAUGGCAGUCACUGUCACCUUUUGUAGCCGGCUCAAUUUUCCGACCACCUCUGUUCGGCUUGUGUUGAGUUUGGUUUUCGUUUGCGGUGCCUACUUUAGGGCACUGGAUUUUGAUUUCAUUUUCGAAAUGCUUGUGUUGUUUGUGUUGAUGUCGCUUUCUCUGUACAACCUUGUUGGAAUACAAGUUUCCACCAUAAAUACUAAUCUCGAUUAUUUCUCUUGCUCUGCUCUCUUUCCACUGCCCCAAAUCGCCAUGCAGAUCUUGCCUAGAAUGUGUUGGAUUAAAGCGAGAACUCAAGCGGCCUGGUGACCGUAAUCACAGAGCAGGAAUUGGAGUGCAUCAACGAUGAUCUGGAGGACUCUUCGAGCAGCAACACUACG
Drosophila mauritiana is the source of this 11581-nucleotide RNA transcript. It is a transcript of the gene named dystrophin, with no coding region annotated. The record is from RefSeq and is a predicted model, not a curated record. Lineage: Eukaryota; Metazoa; Arthropoda; Insecta; Diptera; Drosophilidae. The transcript has 37 exons.